Molecule: ribosomal RNA, 379 nt
Filed under: Rhodomonas sp.
Lineage: Eukaryota; Cryptophyceae; Pyrenomonadales; Pyrenomonadaceae
Description: partial small subunit ribosomal RNA
Rfam family: Eukaryotic small subunit ribosomal RNA
Source: RNAcentral
AGCUCUAAUAGCGUAUAUUAAAGUUGUUGCAGUUAAAAAGCUCGUAGUCGGAUGUCGGGCUCGGGGAGGCUGUCGGCCUUUGGUCGGAUGGCAUCUCCGGGCCUUUCUGCCUGGGGAUCCUAUUCUACUUAACUGUAGGGUAGUGGGACGCAGGCCGUUUACUUUGAAAAAAUUAGAGUGUUCAAAGCAGGCCUACGCUUGAAUACAUUAGCAUGGAAUAAUGGAAUAGGACUUUGGUGCUAUUUUGUUGGUUUAUGGGACCGAAGUAAUGAUUAACAGGGACAGUUGGGGCCGUUUAUAUUUCGUUGUCAGAGGUGAAAUUCUUGGAUUUACGAAAGAUAAACUUCUGCGAAAGCAUUCGGCAAGGAUGUUUUCAUUA